AUUCUGUAGCAAGGUUAACCGUAUAGGGGAGCCGUAGGGAAACCGAGUCUUAACCGGGCGUUAAGUUGCAGGGUAUAGACCCGAAACCCGGUGAUCUAGCCAUGGGCAGGUUGAAGGUUGGGUAACACUAACUGGAGGACCGAACCGACUAAUGUUGAAAAAUUAGCGGAUGACCUGUGGCUGGGGGUGAAAGGCCAAUCAAACCGGGAGAUAGCUGGUUCUCCCCGAAAGCUAUUUAGGUAGCGCCUCGUGAAUUCAUCUCCGGGGGUAGAGCACUGUUUCGGCUAGGGGGCCAUCCCGGCUUACCAACCCGAUGCAAACUGCGAAUACCGGAGAAUGUUAUCACGGGAGACACACGGCGGGUGCUAACGUCCGUCGUGAAGAGGGAAACAACCCAGACCGCCAGCUAAGGUCCCAAAGUCAUGGUUAAGUGGGAAACGAUGUGGGAAGGCCCAGACAGCCAGGAUGUUGGCUUAGAAGCAGCCAUCAUUUAAAGAAAGCGUAAUAGCUCACUGGUCGAGUCGGCCUGCGCGGAAGAUGUAACGGGGCUAAACCAUG
This 558-nucleotide ribosomal RNA is filed under the name Salmonella enterica subsp. enterica serovar Virchow. RNAcentral describes it as "partial 23S ribosomal RNA". It matches the Rfam family "Bacterial large subunit ribosomal RNA", at positions 632 to 1191 of the family's 2925-position model. The record is from RNAcentral. Lineage: Bacteria; Pseudomonadati; Pseudomonadota; Gammaproteobacteria; Enterobacterales; Enterobacteriaceae.